RNAcentral lists this unclassified non-coding RNA (519 nucleotides) under Hevea brasiliensis (rubber tree). The record is from RNAcentral. Lineage: Eukaryota; Viridiplantae; Streptophyta; Magnoliopsida; Malpighiales; Euphorbiaceae.
AAAGAAUUAAGUAAAAUCAUCCAGGAAGCUCAGUACAAAAAUGACCAGAAUCGUGCGCUUAUAAAUUCUGUCAAACAUUUGGUUCAAUUUGGUAUUUAAUAGCCAAUUUGAGCAAAAUCAACAGCCCUUUAACAGUAAACAGCCGCGGGGUUGAAGACUGUCGUUUAACACUAGCAAACAUCGUUCAUCUCCUUUCCAAAAGCAGCAAGGGUUCUCUACGCAACAGAUUGAACAGCUCUAUCAAAGUUUUCUUCAGCAGCUGAGAUGCGUUUAACAAGCAAGUGGUCGGGAUGCGAAAGUUUCAAUUGGCUGAGAAAACGAGAAGUUGGUUUGCCAAGGUGAAGAUUGCAUACAACUAGAUUGGCAAGAGUUUCAGGAUCUUUUGCAUCCUUGUUCAGUGCUUCAAGAAGAAGUGUCUCGGCUUCAUCAAAGUUUCCCAUAUGCAUGCAGCAGACGGCCCUUCCAUUCAAGAUCAAGCUUGUCAUGGGAUAUUUUUCAGAGAAAUCUUGGAAGAUGAGA